Physeter macrocephalus (sperm whale) is the source of this 2694-nucleotide long non-coding RNA. RefSeq lists it as uncharacterized. The record is from RefSeq and is a predicted model, not a curated record. Lineage: Eukaryota; Metazoa; Chordata; Mammalia; Artiodactyla; Physeteridae. The transcript is spliced from 3 exons.
UAUUGAAAUAUAAAAUAACCCAAGGUUCUUACUAAAACAUAUUAAGUCAUUUGAAUUAAGAAACGUUUUAUUGGUAGCUGAGUUUAGAUGGAAAAGAUGCUGAUUCUUUUCCCAGUUCUCCAGUCAUUACAGAUGCUUAUCCAAAGCCUCCUCAGUUCCAGGUCACCUUGCAACUUUGACAAACUUGUAGAUCUAUAGCACUUUAUGUCAGAAGGAACUUAGGGAUCACUGCUGUUCACCUGCAGGGAGGAGGGUAUUGGGGACUAGAGUCCAGUUACCUUCCUGGUUCUUUUCCAGAUGACUCAUCCGGGAGUGAAGUCACGACCACACUCCUGGGACUCCAUCUCUAGAGAGAAGAGCUAAUCAUAAUGCUUUCUUCCCUGCUUUCUGGUGGCGAGUCCUCUGAAGUCAAAGACCCGAGCCCAGUCAUCUUCUUACCCAGCAUCUGUCUAACAUCUUGCAGGCCUUCAGGGAAUGUUAUGUAUGAGACUUUCUGGACUCAGCUUCUCCUUCUCUAAACAAAGAUUGGGAUCUAAAUUGCUAAUAUCGGGCUUCCCUGGUGGCGCAGUGGUUAAGAAUCCGCCUGCCAGUGCAGGGGACAUGGGUUCGAGCCCUGGUCUGGGAAGAUCCCACAUGUCGCGGAGCAACUAAGCCCCUGCGCCACAACUACUGAGCCUGCACUCUAGAGCCCUAGAGCCACAACUACUGAGCCCACGUGCCACAACUACUGAAGCCCGUGCACCUAGAGCCCGUGCUCCACAACAAGAGAAGCCACCGCAAUGAGAAGCCCGUGCACCGCAACGAAGAGUAGCCCCCGCUCACCACAACUAGGGAAAGCCCGCGCACAGCAACAAAGACCCAACGCAGCCACAAAUACAUAAUAAAUUAAUUAAUUAGUUUUUAAAAAUUAUAAAAAAAUAAAUUGCUAAUAUUCUUUUCAGCUGUGAGGGUCUGUGAUUUAAAGAUCGAGGUCUUCACUUCACUCAUCUUUAACCAGAUGGUUGACUCACCCCAAAUCCUCCGAAACUUGGACAUUUCAGCUGGAUGAGAAGCUGAAGGAUGAGCUGGUCCUUUCAGAUCCAGAGAGAGAGGAGUUUCUGCAGGCGAGGUGUUCUAGCCCUGAGGGAUGAGCCAGGCUACUGUGACUGUGACGUUCCCUGUGCCUUGAUCUCACUCCACCUUUUAAGAUAACUGUGGCAGGUGAGAGAGGGCUCUGGGGCCAGCUGAUUCUGAACACGGAUCCCAGGGAAGGCUGUGACGGCUGAGAUCCUUGUCGUAGGAGGCUGGGACAGGUAGCUUGAGAGCUCUGCAGACUCUGUCCCAUGGCCCAGGUCACCUACAUGGCUGAAGCUUUCACGACUCCUCCGGGAGAAUUUAUUCAGCCCACACUAACUGGUGAUCUCGGAUGUUCCCAGCAUAAUGUCUGAUAGGGAGGGAAAGAUGAGUCAUGCCGGUUCCUGCAACCCUAGGGAAGCUCGGGCGGACAGACGGUUGCAAGUUUGGUUGCAUGGGAAGGAGGCUUAGUCACAUCCUCCUGCUCUGGGCUUCUAGAGUCCAUCUACCUAGCUGCACUCCGGCUUCCGUCACGGUGUGUGGUCAUUUAUUUGUCUGCGUGUCUGUUUCUUCUCCUAUUGUAAUGUGUGUUCCUCUGGGGCAGAGACCAGACCUUAGACAUGGUCUCCGGUCCGUCUUCUGUGCCAGCUGAAAUAUUAUCAGUGUUUGUGUACUACAUUAAGGUGAGAGCUACUGCAUUUAUUCAUCUGUUCAUUCAUUCAUUCAGUAUCCAAUGUCCAGUUGCUGAUUUCAUUAUAUAACACUACCUCUAGUCAGCCUUGUUACUAAUAUCAGAGAUUUACAAAAGGAUAGCUCAGCUCUGAGUGUCAGGUGUGGCUCAUGGAGGAGAAUUAAAGGAGACCCUGCCCCAACUCCCUUGUCACACCAACAAAGACCCCUGGCCUCUCAUCCUUUGCCAGCCCUAGGGGUGAUUCAGAACUGGCUGUGGACAAGACCCCUCAGACAUUGUAAAAUGAGUGCUGGCCACCGUGGGACAGGCUGGGUUCUGACUGCCCCAGGUCUGCCACUUCUUAGAUGGGUGAGAGGGGACAGGUGGCUUCCCCUCCCCAAGUCUCAGUUACUUCACCUGGGAAAUGGGGAGGAUAGAACUCGGUUUUGCCUUCUUCCCAAGGCUUUUGAAAGAGUCACGGGUGUGACUGGUAAAAGUGCACCAGGGGAAGCGAAGAUUGUUACAGACUAAGGCACCUCCCUCUGCACCGUGCCCUAGGACCCUGCAUGUGCUUUGGAAAAAAGCUAUCCCAUAGGCACACACCAUGCCUUCCUUUUGGUAUGUAGAAUAAUUAUUUCUUCCCUUUAUUAUGUUUCUGAGAGUCUGGAGGAGUGGCUUGGCAAGAAGUGGAACAAGUCCCCAAACUGCCAUCCCCUGAUGGCAUCCACAUUUCACUAGAAGCCCAUGUGGAGCUCAAGAAGACUGCAUCCUCAGCAGGGGCUUUCUUGUGGAGAUUUUAUGGUUAUUGGCUAGAAAGCCAAUGAAACAAUGGUCACUGGCUAAAGAGCCAAAGAAAGUCCUCCACGCCUGCAUGACUCAGCCCCAGGAGAGGCUCGUUGCAUGUUAAAAUCAAGGGAAGUGUAUAUAUGUCUAUGCCACUCUCUCACUUUGUCACAGCUUACCCUUCCCCC